RNAcentral lists this ribosomal RNA (484 nucleotides) under uncultured bacterium. RNAcentral describes it as "partial 16S ribosomal RNA". It matches the Rfam family "Bacterial small subunit ribosomal RNA", at positions 30 to 507 of the family's 1533-position model. The record is from RNAcentral.
AUUGAACGCUGGCGGCAGGCCCAACACAUGCAAGUCGAGCGGAUGAAGGGAGCUUGCUCCUGGAUUCAGCGACGGACGGGUGAGUAAUGCCUAGGAAUCUGCCUGGUAGUGGGGGAUAACGUCCGGAAACGGGCGCUAAUACCGCAUACGUCCUGAGGGAGAAAGUGGGGGAUCUUCGGACCUCACGCUAUCAGAUGAGCCUAGGUCGGAUUAGCUAGUUGGUGGGGUAAAGGCCUACCAAGGCGACGAUCCGUAACUGGUCUGAGAGGAUGAUCAGUCACACUGGAACUGAGACACGGUCCAGACUCCUACGGGAGGCAGCAGUGGGGAAUAUUGGACAAUGGGCGAAAGCCUGAUCCAGCCAUGCCGCGUGUGUGAAGAAGGUCUUCGGAUUGUAAAGCACUUUAAGUUGGGAGGAAGGGCAGUAAGUUAAUACCUUGCUGUUUUGACGUUACCAACAGAAUAAGCACCGGCUAACUUCGUG